This 944-nucleotide long non-coding RNA is filed under the name Astyanax mexicanus (Mexican tetra). RNAcentral describes it as "lncRNA (ENSAMXG00005001951.1)". Lineage: Eukaryota; Metazoa; Chordata; Actinopteri; Characiformes; Acestrorhamphidae. The record is from RNAcentral.
UCCAGCUCAUCCCAAAUCAGCAUUUCAGUUGAUCAGGUUUAAGUCACAGGCUUGUUGAGGCCAAACACUUUUUUUUCUUUAUUGCAUAAUUCCAUAUGUGUCCCUUUCUUGUCUUUAAUAUUGAUCUACAAUGUAGAAUUUUGACUUGUACUGUAUGUUAGUGGAAAUAAUAGCACAGCACCACCAUAGCAUCAACAGGAAGUCAACCCAGAGACCUUUUUAUUGCGAGACCGUGUUGGUGGCACUGUUGUUGAGGAUAUAUCAGCCGGUUUAGUUACAAUGGGUGGCACAGAGAGAGGAAGAGAGAGAGAAAUACAGAGACAGUGGGUGGGUUGUAAAAGAAUGAUGGAUAGACUGAUGGGAAAUGGAUGGGCGCAUCACUAAACCACUGCACAUCCUCUGAGUCUGUGUGUUUGUUUGUGUGUGUGUGUGUGUGUGUGUGUGUGUAUAAACACAAAUAUCACUCCCACAAGUAACAGUGGAGUGAUAUAAACCCUGCUGCUAGUCCUGAGUGUCAGUAAAGCUCACUCCUUUAAUGCGGAUCCUCCAUCAGCCUGAGCAAUGCUGAUCUCUAUAGCGCUCGCCUGCCUGCUCGGCCCAGCUGCAGCCUAUCCGAUUGUUCAGAAGGAUGUUUUAGAUGAACUGGUCACUCAGAGCAGUCUCAACGUGGUCAGCAAUCCAGUGAUCCAGCAGGAGCACAUAACAGUUACUGCUGCCAUACUGCUGGGUACUGGAGUCCCUGAUGUUCCUGCAGUUCCAGAUGUUAAUGUUGUUCCAGGGGAUGGACAGCAGAUUGAGGGUGAACAGGCAGCAGCACACAGCUCAUCUGAAUCUGAAAGCUCUGAGCAAAGCCAGUCAGUGGAGAAUCCAACCGAGGUAUAGCACACACACACACAAACACACACACACACACACACAGAUUUGUGUAUAUAGUAUUAUAUAUC